Caretta caretta (loggerhead turtle) is the source of this 346-nucleotide long non-coding RNA. RefSeq lists it as uncharacterized. The record is from RefSeq and is a predicted model, not a curated record. NCBI's taxonomy places the organism in Eukaryota, Metazoa, Chordata, Testudines, Cheloniidae.
AAUUGAUAGAGCAUGGUUCCAUUCCCUUUGCUGCUGCUGCUAAGUUGGGAGCUGCAGAAUUGAGAGGAGCUUUGGUUCUCAGAUAUCCUAUCAGAGCCAACAGAAAGAGAAUGAAAGAAAGAAUGACAAAAUUGCAGCACAAAAAGAUGGAGGUUAACUACCUAAAGAAGCUAGAAGUGGCAAACUUUUCUUCAACAUCUCUACCACCACCAAGACAAAAUAAGUGCAGUCAAUGCCCUCGAACUUGUGGAAGGUAUAAAAAAUAAAAUGUGAAAAUUAAAAAAUAUCCAUUGUAUUAAAUCCUAAAAAAGGAACAUUGGCAUCUGCCUUGAUGAGCUAUUCAUUU